RNAcentral lists this long non-coding RNA (286 nucleotides) under Linum usitatissimum (flax). RNAcentral describes it as "long non-coding RNA (LUSI_LNC006978)". The record is from RNAcentral. Lineage: Eukaryota; Viridiplantae; Streptophyta; Magnoliopsida; Malpighiales; Linaceae.
AACGAACUCUCCAAUUUAUUGUGACUGGACAUAUAAGUUAUCAAAUUACCAUAUAGUAAAACAAUGCGAGGCCUCACUAGUGGAUUUGUUCUUAAAUUGGUUUGAGUGGUCUUCUCUGUUUGUUGUUAAUCCGACUCUUACUAGUUUGUUGUGUAGUCUUGAUUUCGAAAAAGAAAAGAAAAAGAAAAAAAUUUAAAAAUCUCAAAAAAGGAAGAGACAAGCGAAAAAACCCCAAUCUCGGUGAUAAAAGAAAGAGAAAAUUGAAAAAAAGUUGUAGUCGAUUAUG